This 253-nucleotide ribosomal RNA is filed under the name uncultured bacterium. RNAcentral describes it as "partial 16S ribosomal RNA". It matches the Rfam family "Bacterial small subunit ribosomal RNA", at positions 524 to 776 of the family's 1533-position model. The record is from RNAcentral.
UACGAAGGGGGCUAGCGUUGUUCGGAAUUACUGGGCGUAAAGCGCGUGUAGGCGGUUGCCCAAGUCGGGUGUGAAAGCCUUGAGCUCAACUCAAGAAAUGCACUCGGUACUGGGUGACUAGAGGACCGGAGAGGAUAGUGGAAUUCCCAGUGUAGUGGUGAAAUACGUAGAGAUUGGGAAGAACACCAGUGGCGAAGGCGGCUCACUGGCCCGGUACUGACGCUGAGGUGCGAAAGCGUGGGGAGCAAACAGG